UACGGGGGGAGCAAGCGUUGUUCGGAUUUACUGGGCGUAAAGGGCGCGUAGGCGGCAAUUCAAGUCAUCUGUGAAAUCUCCGGGCUUAACUCGGAACGGUCAGAUGAUACUGCUUUGCUAGAGUGCGGAAGGGGCAAUCGGAAUUCUUGGUGUAGCGGUGAAAUGCGUAGAUAUCAAGAGGAACACCGGUGGCGAAGGCGGAUCUCUGGGCCUUACCUGACGCUGAGGCGCGAAAGCUAGGGGAGCGAACAGG
RNAcentral lists this ribosomal RNA (253 nucleotides) under uncultured bacterium. RNAcentral's name for it is "partial 16S ribosomal RNA". It matches the Rfam family "Bacterial small subunit ribosomal RNA", at positions 524 to 776 of the family's 1533-position model. The record is from RNAcentral.